This 437-nucleotide ribosomal RNA is filed under the name Fusobacterium periodonticum. Its description in RNAcentral is "bacterial SSU rRNA". It matches the Rfam family "Bacterial small subunit ribosomal RNA", at positions 28 to 490 of the family's 1533-position model. Lineage: Bacteria; Fusobacteriati; Fusobacteriota; Fusobacteriia; Fusobacteriales; Fusobacteriaceae. The record is from RNAcentral.
GAUGAACGCUGACAGAAUGCUUAACACAUGCAAGUCUACUUGAACUUCGGUUUGGGUGGCGGACGGGUGAGUAACGCGUAAAGAACUUGCCUCACAGUUAGGGACAACAUUUGGAAACGAAUGCUAAUACCUGAUAUUAUGAUUUUAGGGCAUCCUAAGAUUAUGAAAGCUAUAUGCGCUGUGAGAGAGCUUUGCGUCCCAUUAGCUAGUUGGAGAGGUAACGGCUCACCAAGGCGAUGAUGGGUAGCCGGCCUGAGAGGGUGAACGGCCACAAGGGGACUGAGACACGGCCCUUACUCCUACGGGAGGCAGCAGUGGGGAAUAUUGGACAAUGGACCAAAAGUCUGAUCCAGCAAUUCUGUGUGCACGAUGACGUUUUUCGGAAUGUAAAGUGCUUUCAGUUGGGAAGAAAAAAAUGACGGUACCAACAGAAGAAA